UCCCGGGAACGUAUUCACCGCGGCGUGCUGAUCCGCGAUUACUAGCGAUUCCAGCUUCGUGUAGGCGAGUUGCAGCCUACAGUCCAAACUGAGAACAGCUUUCAGAGAUUCGCUUGCCUUCACAAGUUCGCUCCUCGUUGUACUGCCCAUUGUAGCACGUGUGUAGCCCAGGUCAUAAGGGGCAUGAUGACUUGACGUCAUCCCCACCUUCCUCCGGUUUGUCACCGGCAGUCUCAUUAGAGUGCCCAACUUAAUGCUGGCAACUAAUAAUAAGGGUUGCGCUCGUUGCGGGACUUAACCCAACAUCUCACGACACGAGCUGACGACA
This 328-nucleotide ribosomal RNA is filed under the name uncultured bacterium. RNAcentral describes it as "partial 16S ribosomal RNA". The record is from RNAcentral.